This 468-nucleotide ribosomal RNA is filed under the name uncultured bacterium. Its description in RNAcentral is "partial 16S ribosomal RNA". It matches the Rfam family "Bacterial small subunit ribosomal RNA", at positions 28 to 507 of the family's 1533-position model. The record is from RNAcentral.
GACGAACGCUGGCGGCGUGCUUAACACAUGCAAGUCGAACGGAAAGGCCCUGCUUUUGUGGGGUGCUCGAGUGGCGAACGGGUGAGUAACACGUGAGUAACCUGCCCUUGACUUUGGGAUAACUUCAGGAAACUGGGGCUAAUACCGGAUAGGAGCUCCUGCUGCAUGGUGGGGGUUGGAAAGUUUCGGCGGUUGGGGAUGGACUCGCGGCUUAUCAGCUUGUUGGUGGGGUAGUGGCUUACCAAGGCUUUGACGGGUAGCCGGCCUGAGAGGGUGACCGGCCACAUUGGGACUAAGAUACGGCCCAGACUCCUACGGGAGGCAGCAGUGGGGAAUAUGGCACAAUGGGCGGAAGCCGGAUGCAGCAACGCCGCGUGCGGGAUGACGGCCUUCGGGUUGUAAACCGCUUUCGCCUGUGACGAAGCGUGUGUGACGGUAAUGGGUAAAGAAGCACCGGCUAACUACGUG